CUAAGUAAGGUAGGUGUGAAAACUCCAGGCUCAACCUGGAGACGCCACCUGAUACUGCUGUGGCUAGAGUCCGGUAGGGGAGCAUGGAAUUCCUGGUGUAGCGGUGAAAUGCGCAGAUAUCAGGAGGAACACCAGUGGCGAAGGCGGUGCUCUGGGCCGGAACUGACGCUGAGGAGCGAAAGCGUGGGGAGCAAACAG
This 198-nucleotide ribosomal RNA is filed under the name uncultured bacterium. Its description in RNAcentral is "partial 16S ribosomal RNA". It matches the Rfam family "Bacterial small subunit ribosomal RNA", at positions 579 to 775 of the family's 1533-position model. The record is from RNAcentral.